CUCUCUCUCUCUCAUUUCAAUUCGCCCAACCUUUCAUCACAUCUCCGCGUAUUCCACAGGUAAUAUACGAAUCCAUGAGGAAAUACCGUUCUCAACUGAGUAGCUGAGAUAUGCCAAAGAGUAGAACAUGACAUGGAAAUUCUUGGUGAAGAUGCUCAUUUUACAUAUAGGGCAUGGUGUUUAUGGUUCUGAAGACAAUGCAGAAGCACAUAUCAGGUUUUGCUUUAUGAUGCUGGUGAUGCUUUAUGAUA
Molecule: long non-coding RNA, 251 nt
Organism: Vicia villosa (hairy vetch)
Lineage: Eukaryota; Viridiplantae; Streptophyta; Magnoliopsida; Fabales; Fabaceae
Exons: 3
Source: RefSeq, a predicted model, not a curated record